CUCCUUAAAAUUCCCCUUUUGGUAUAGAGUAGGAUUUAAAUUUAUCAGUGGAAGUUAUCUAUAAUUACCAAUCAGAAAGUUAAAUUACAUGAAAAAAAAAUAAUGCUUUGUUGGGUUUUUUGAGUCACGGUUAAUAAUCCCUUAAAUGCUUCCAUAUCAGCUCAGCCAGGUGAACUAGAGCCUUGUGCAUGCCUUUCUUCCUGAAACCCUUGUUAGGUAACUCUGACCACGCCCAUGUGGGUGUGGUCAUUAGUACCUGUGACCUGCGGAAAGUGGACUUAGU
This 283-nucleotide long non-coding RNA is filed under the name Cricetulus griseus (Chinese hamster). Its description in RNAcentral is "lncRNA (ENSCGRG00015030846.1)". Lineage: Eukaryota; Metazoa; Chordata; Mammalia; Rodentia; Cricetidae. The record is from RNAcentral.